CCAACGGCCCUCUUCAGGGCCACAAUCGCAGUCGACUACAUGACUU
Molecule: non-coding RNA, 46 nt
Organism: Angiostrongylus costaricensis
Lineage: Eukaryota; Metazoa; Nematoda; Chromadorea; Rhabditida; Metastrongylidae
Source: Rfam